ACGAACGCUGGUGGUAUGCUUAACACAUGCAAGUCGAACGGGCUUGUUUGGGGUAACUCAAAUAAGUCAGUGGCAAACGGGUGAGUAAUACAUAGGAAUCUACCUAGCAGUAAGGGAUAACCUUGGGAAACCAAGGCUAAUACCAUAUAUUACCCUUCGGGGGAAAGAUUUAUCGCUGUUAGAUGAGCCUGUGUCGGAUUAGCUAGUUGGUAGGGUAAUGGCCUACCAAGGCAAUGAUCCGUAGCUGGUCUGAGAGGAUGAUCAGCCACACUGGGACUGAGACACGGCCCAGACUCCUACGGGAGGCAGCAGUGGGGAAUAUUGGACAAUGGGCGCAAGCCUGAUCCAGCAAUACCACGUGAGUGAUGAAGGCCCUUGGGUUGUAAAACUCUUUUAGUAGGGAAGAUAAUGACGGUACCUACAGAAAAAGCACCGGCUAACUUCGU
This 446-nucleotide ribosomal RNA is filed under the name uncultured bacterium. Its description in RNAcentral is "bacterial SSU rRNA". It matches the Rfam family "Bacterial small subunit ribosomal RNA", at positions 29 to 506 of the family's 1533-position model. The record is from RNAcentral.